GCCGGGGUGGCGGAACUGGUCAGACGCGCCCGACUUAAAAUCGGGUGCCUUCGGGCAUGCGGGUUCGAGUCCCGCCCCCGGCA
RNAcentral lists this transfer RNA (83 nucleotides) under Acidobacteriota bacterium. Its description in RNAcentral is "tRNA-Leu". It matches the Rfam family "tRNA". Rfam says of the family: Transfer RNA (tRNA) molecules are approximately 80 nucleotides in length. Their secondary structure includes four short double-helical elements and three loops (D, anti-codon, and T loops). The record is from RNAcentral. Lineage: Bacteria; Pseudomonadati; Acidobacteriota. RNAcentral also lists the same sequence under 3 other names.